UCUGAAUGUAGGCAGGAGUGUCAGUGAGGAAUUGUCUAGAUUUGGCUUCCUCAUGGGCAUGUCUGUGGGGGAUUAUCUUGAUUACGUUGACUGACCCAGCCUAUAAAUACAGUCCAUUAAAAGGUAACCAAGAAUCUCUUCUUCCCAAUGUCACAAAUACUAUACCUGAAUAUGUGGAGUUCAUCUGAUUCUUCAGGCCCUCAUGGACAGUUCUUGAAGAAAGUAUUCUGGGUCAAGAAAACAAAGGAAAAAAAAAUAGUGAAAUUACCUUUAAUAGCAGCAAAGCCUGCAGGUGGCAAGCAGUAUAAAGAACUUGGACUAUCCUGCACCUUCCUGGAAAGCAACAAGUUCCUAGCAUAGUGUUCAAUGACAUACCUUCCCACCAGGUGCCCCUUGUGUUCUGCUCGCUGAUGGUGGAGAACCUGGGAAGUUCUGUGGAUGUUUUUUCCCAUGUGCCUCUUGAAAGGCUAGAUUAUCUCAUCUCUGCCUUCUCAGUGAUAAAUUCAAUACGUGUUCAC
This is a long non-coding RNA of Peromyscus eremicus (cactus mouse), 518 nucleotides long. RefSeq lists it as uncharacterized. The transcript is spliced from 3 exons. NCBI's taxonomy places the organism in Eukaryota, Metazoa, Chordata, Mammalia, Rodentia, Cricetidae. The record is from RefSeq and is a predicted model, not a curated record.